GAUUCCCUUAGUAACGGCGAGUGAAAAGGGAUCAGCCCAGCGCCAAGUCCUGACGCUUAACGUGUUCAGGAGAUGCGGCGUUAGUGUGUUGGUGCAUCGUACACUGCCACGUGUCUCAAGUUCCUUUGACAGGGACUCCCAGAGUGGGUGCUAGGCCCAUAGAGACUGCGGGGCCGGUGUACGCAGACCAUCGCAUUUUAGAGUCAGGUUGCUUGAAAGUGCAGCCUAAAGCAGGUGGUAAACUCCAUCUAAGGCUAAAUAUUACAGCGAGACCGAUAGCAAACAAGUACCGUGAGGGAAAGUUGCAAAGAACUUUGAAGAGAGAGUUCAAAAGGACGUGAAACCACUAACAGGCAAACGGGUGGAACCACGAAGUGUGCCUGGCGGGCGAUUCAACUGUCGCCAUCGGCUGGCUGUGCCUGUUGUACGGGUCGGUUCUCCGGCCACACUGGUGCAGUCUACAACCGGUGGCGGUGGUGCAUUUUGUUCCGCCAGUGCUAAAGCCACGUCCGAUUAGGUGGCUGGAACGGCCGUAGUGAGUGUUCGGUGGAAGGUGGCCGUCAGAUGCCUCGGCGUCUGGCGGUGUUAUAGCCACCGAGCCGUGCCGUUGCCUAGCGUGCUGAUCGGUGCAACAUCUCCAACUGGAGUAUUGCUAGUAAUGGGCCGGCGCGCCUGUGGUUGCCUGGUCGUCGUGCCAGCCUGGCCUUACGUUCCUUCGGGUGCGACAAGACUGGUUGGUAUCGGUGGUCAGUGUGCUGCUUGCGUGGUCGGUUUGUGCAAACGGUGGUGCGAGUAGGUCGGUCUCCACCCGACCCGUCUUGAAACACGGACCAAGGAGCCUAGCAUAUACGCGAGUCGCACGGUCUUGUUUAGGCCUGUGAGGCGCAAUGAAAGUAACUCGGCUACGAGGUUGGCCCCCGUGGCUGAUCGCAGUAGCGGCCCGCCGGCUUCCUUUAUCGGGGAUAUGGCGGAGUCGGAGCGUAUACGCUGGUACCCGAAAGAUGGUGAACUAUGCCUGGGCAAGACGAAGCCAGAGGAAACUCUGGUGGAGGUCUGUAGCGAUUCUGACGUGCAAAUCGAUCGUCAGACCUGGGUAUAGGGGCGAAAGACUAAUCGAACCAUCUAGUAGCUGGUUCCCUCCGAAGUUUCCCUCAGGAUAGCAGGCGCUUGUUUAAUCAGUCUCAUCCGGUAAAGCUAAUGAUUAGAGGUCUUGGGGCCGAAACGGCCUCAACCUAUUCUCAAACUUUAAAUGGGUGAGAUGCUUGACUUGCUUGAUUGAAGCCAAGCAAUUGGAUGUAAGUGCCUAGUGGGCCAGCUUUGGUAAGCAGAACUGGCGCUGUGGGAUGAACCAAACGUCGAGUUAAGGCAUCAAAUGCGUACGCUCAUCAGACCCCAUGAAAGGUGUUGGUUGCUAUAGACAGCAGGACGGUGGCCAUGGAAGUCGGAAUCC
Molecule: ribosomal RNA, 1450 nt
Filed under: Histiogaster arborsignis
Lineage: Eukaryota; Metazoa; Arthropoda; Arachnida; Sarcoptiformes; Acaridae
Description: eukaryotic LSU rRNA
Rfam family: Eukaryotic large subunit ribosomal RNA
Source: RNAcentral